This 253-nucleotide ribosomal RNA is filed under the name uncultured bacterium. RNAcentral's name for it is "partial 16S ribosomal RNA". It matches the Rfam family "Bacterial small subunit ribosomal RNA", at positions 524 to 776 of the family's 1533-position model. The record is from RNAcentral.
UACGUAGGGGGCCAGCGUUGCUCGGAAUUACUGGGCGUAAAGGGUUCGUAGGUGGUGCGGCAAGUUGGGAGUGAAAUCUCUGGGCUUAACUCAGAGGCUGCUUUCAAAACUGCCGCGCUCGAGUGCGAGAGAGGUCAGUGGAAUUGCAGGUGUAGCGGUGAAAUGCGUAGAUAUCUGCAGGAACACCCGUGGCGAAGGCGGCUGACUGGAUCGCAACUGACGCUGAGGAACGAAAGCUAGGGGAGCAAACAGG